RNAcentral lists this ribosomal RNA (344 nucleotides) under uncultured bacterium. RNAcentral describes it as "bacterial SSU rRNA". It matches the Rfam family "Bacterial small subunit ribosomal RNA", at positions 8 to 334 of the family's 1533-position model. The record is from RNAcentral.
AGGGUUCGAUUAUGGCUCAGGACGAACGCUGGCGGCGUGCUUAACACAUGCAAGUCGAACGGGGCACCCUUGACGGAGAUUUCGGUCAACAGAUAGGAAUGCUUAGUGGCGGACGGGUGAGUAACGCGUGAGGAACCUGCCUUUCAGAGGGGGACAACAGUUGGAAACGACUGCUAAUACCGCAUAAUAUAUACGGACCGCAUGAUCUGUAUAUCAAAGAUUUAUCGCUGAAAGAUGGCCUCGCGUCUGAUUAGAUAGUUGGCGGGGUAACGGCCCACCAAGUCGACGAUCAGUAGCCGGACUGAGAGGUUGAACGGCCACAUUGGGACUGAGAUACGGCCCAG